UUUGCUGACGAGCGGCGGACGGGUGAGUAAUGCUUAGGAAUUUGCCCAGUCGAGGGGGAUAACCAUUGGAAACGAUGGCUAAUACCGCAUACGUCCUACGGGAGAAAGAAGGGGACCUUCGGGCCUUUCGCGAUUGGAUAAGCCUAAGUGAGAUUAGCUAGUUGGUGAGGUAAAGGCUCACCAAGGCGACGAUCUCUAGCUGGUCUGAGAGGAUGAUCAGCCACACUGGAACUGAGACACGGUCCAGACUCCUACGGGAGGCAGCAGUGGGGAAUAUUGCACAAUGGGCGCAAGCCUGAUGCAGCCAUGCCGCGUGUAUGAAGAAGGCCUUCGGGUUGUAAAGUACUUUCAGCAGUGAGGAAGGGUGCGAGCUUAAUACGUUCGUACUUUGACGUUAGCUGCAGAAGAAGCACCGGCUAACUCCGUGCCAGCAGCCGCGGUAAUACGGAGGGUGCGAGCGUUAAUCGGAAUUACUGGGCGUAAAGCGCAUGCAGGUGGUUUGUUAAGUCAGAUGUGAAAGCCCGGGGCUCAACCUCGGAAGGUCAUUUGAAACUGGCAGACUAGAGUACUGUAGAGGGGGGUAGAAUUUCAGGUGUAGCGGUGAAAUGCGUAGAUAUCUGAAGGAAUACCGGUGGCGAAGGCGGCCCCCUGGACAGAUACUGACACUCAGAUGCGAAAGCGUGGGGAGCAAACAGGAUUAGAUACCCUGGUAGUCCACGCUGUAAACGAUGUCUACUUGGAGGUUGUUCCCUUGAGGAGUGGCUUUCGGAGCUAACGCGUUAAGUAGACCGCCUGGGGAGUACGGUCGCAAGAUUAAAACUCAAAUGAAUUGACGGGGGCCCGCACAAGCGGUGGAGCAUGUGGUUUAAUUCGAUGCAACGCGAAGAACCUUACCUACUCUUGACAUCCAGAGAAGCUAGUGGAGACACUGGUGUGCCUUCGGGAGCUCUGAGACAGGUGCUGCAUGGCUGUCGUCAGCUCGUGUUGUGAAAUGUUGGGGUUAAGUCCCGCAACGAGCGCAACCCUUAUCCUUAAUUGCC
RNAcentral lists this ribosomal RNA (1040 nucleotides) under Vibrio sinaloensis. RNAcentral describes it as "bacterial SSU rRNA". It matches the Rfam family "Bacterial small subunit ribosomal RNA", at positions 84 to 1119 of the family's 1533-position model. Lineage: Bacteria; Pseudomonadati; Pseudomonadota; Gammaproteobacteria; Vibrionales; Vibrionaceae. The record is from RNAcentral.